AGGACUCACUGGGCAAAACAUGGUACCAAUAAGUUUGUCACUAUCAGAUAGAGUUACAUUGUUGCUGCCAAUGGUGGGACUCGCAUUUGAUUUGGUCUGUUUCUCUUGUAUAUAUCUGUGGCCUUUCGCAGAGAUCUAUCUGGUUCAUGAAUCUUCACAGAUAUGAUACUUGUUUUUGAAAUUCGAACAUAUGCUCUUUUCAAGAAUCACUGUUAAGUGUUCAGUUCUGUUUCUGUUAUAAAGGCAUCUAGUAACUUCUUGCCACCAGGAUGUAGGAUGUGGAUGAAAUUAUUUUUCUUUGAAGAGAUUCAUUUAAGGGAGGAAAAGAUGUUAUCCAAAAUCCAACAAAAAAAAAA
RNAcentral lists this unclassified non-coding RNA (356 nucleotides) under Hevea brasiliensis (rubber tree). The record is from RNAcentral. Lineage: Eukaryota; Viridiplantae; Streptophyta; Magnoliopsida; Malpighiales; Euphorbiaceae.